AACGAACGCUGGCGGCAGGCUUAACACAUGCAAGUCGAGCGCCCCGCAAGGGGAGCGGCAGACGGGUGAGUAACGCGUGGGAAUCUACCCAAUACUACGGAAUAGCUCCGGGAAACUGGAAUUAAUUCCGUAUGUGCCCUACGGGGGAAAGAUUUAUCGGUAUUGGAUGAGCCCGCGUUGGAUUAGCUAGUUGGUGGGGUAAUGGCCUACCAAGGCGACGAUCCAUAGCUGGUCUGAGAGGAUGAUCAGCCACACUGGGACUGAGACACGGCCCAGACUCCUACGGGAGGCAGCAGUGGGGAAUAUUGGACAAUGGGCGAAAGCCUGAUCCAGCCAUGCCGCGUGAGUGAUGAAGGGCCUUAGGGUUGUAAAGCUCUUUUAGCAGGGAAGAUAAUGACGGUACCUGAGAAAAAUGCCCCCGGCUAACUUUCGUGCCAGCAGCCGCGGUAAUACGAAGGGGGCUAGCGUUGUUCGGAUUACUGGGCGUAAAGCGCACGUAGGCGGAUCGUUAAGUCGGGGGUGAAAUCCUGGAGCUCAACUCCAGGAACUGCCUUCGAUACUGGCGAUCUUGAGUCCGGAAGAGGUGAGUGGAACUCCUAGUGUAGAGGUGGAAUUCGUAG
Molecule: ribosomal RNA, 620 nt
Filed under: uncultured bacterium
Lineage: Bacteria
Description: bacterial SSU rRNA
Rfam family: Bacterial small subunit ribosomal RNA
Source: RNAcentral